Non-coding RNA from Coturnix japonica (Japanese quail), 2036 nucleotides. NCBI's taxonomy places the organism in Eukaryota, Metazoa, Chordata, Aves, Galliformes, Phasianidae. The record is from RefSeq and is a predicted model, not a curated record.
UCAGAUAUUAUAUGAAGAAGGAUAUAUAGGAUAUAUCUUUGCAUUAAAAAGAAAACAGAUAAUUGAGCCUGCAUAAAAAUAAAUACAUAAUCCAGGUUUACUCAGUAGAUGUGAACAACUUUACCAGUCCCAUCUUAUACACUGUUUUUACAACUAGAAUCUCACAAUUUUCCUUCAUAUUUCCAUGAAGUUUAUGUAGUUUUAUUGCAUGUAUUCCUAAAUUACUGUAAAUGUUAUAUAAUCUGUAAUUGAACACGCGGUCUGUAUAAGGAAAUGUAGUUUUAAAAAGCAAUCCUUCUUCCUGGAACUUUUGAGGAUCUCUUUUCAAAUUUGUAAUUUUAAUUAAUGAUUCACUAUUUUGUGAUAUUGCUACUGAAUGUAUUGCAGCUGUGAGAAGUACAUGUAUGUGGGAUGAGCUUUCUACUCUUUUCUGUCCCUCCUGAGUACAGCAAAUUCACUGUUUAAUUCUUGGCUGCUGCUUCUACAAAGCUGCCUUUCACUUUAGCUUUGAGCACAGCUGGCUGAUAUCAAGCACGCUGACAGUCGCACAUGGUUAAAGAUACAGGUGUCUACUCUCUACGUCUUAGACCAUUCUUGCAGUUUGUGAGAAAUUAAUUCAUCAGUAGAUGGCAAAUAUUGGAGAUGCUUCAUUCCUAUUCAGCUUUUGACCAUGGUGCUGCUUUCAACACCAAUUCUACCAGUGUGAGCAUAAAACUAGACUUUGGAACAGAAGCACACAACUUCACAGUGCAGAACUCCCAGAAGUAAGCAAAUGAUAAAUUGAACAUACACAAAUGUCAUGUUAUUUGCAAGGAAAAAAAAAAAGUUACGGUUCAGUAUACCAUUAGAUUUUAGCCUCCAAAGCUCUACUUAAAUAGUAAAUUCAUUUUUCAUGGCAGCUCAGGGUUUUCCAGAAUGACUGGAGUGAAAACUCACUAACUUUCUGCAUAGCUUAACAGAAGUUGUGCAUUUAUGGGAAUGUCCUAUUUACCAGAGGGAUAUUUGAAGAUUGGAUUAGCAAUAAUCUAAUUUUUCUCUGCUAAUAUUUUCAUUGUGAUGUAAUAAAUUUAGUCUCUGAGGAAAUUAGAGUAACAUUCAUAGAGGAGGACAGUUUUUUUUUGUGUUUAAAGCGACUGCCCUUCAUCUGUUGUCCAUAAUUCUAAUGCUUCUCCAGGAAACAGGAACAAGUUUCUGAAAAGUUAAGCAAGUGAAAAAGUGUUUGCAUGCUUCUUGUAAGAUACAGGAGAAAGAUAAUUAUUGGCAGUGGUGAUGAUGUGGGAGCUGAAAUUGAGUCUCCUGUUGAAUGUAGAAACUCCUGUAUUUUCUGUGUAUUCCAGUGGAUCUGGACUCUUUUCAAGAUUGAUUUUGAAAGCUGUUCUACUCUAAACUAAAUUUGUAGCAUCAAUAUGCUUAAAAAUAGGAGAAAUUUAGAGGUUCAGAACUUAUUUAUGAAGGUAGGAAAGGGAACCAACAUCUUAAGUGUAACUUUGAACCUCAUUCUGCUUUAUUCUCUUAGUAAAAAAAGGGUCUUUAAUUUGAUCACUUCUCAUUCAGUGAAACAGUCCUUAAUUAAUAAAGCAAACAAACACAGAAAUCAGUGCUUAUUCUGUAUGGAGGGAUUAUUCUGCAUGCAUACAGCAACCGCAGAUGCAGAGAUCAUCAGGGCGUAGCAGAAGAACUAAAGGGGCCUGCAGGGUGGCCCACUUCUUCAGUGAACACAGGGUACUGCUCAUCUGCAGCUACAGAUGUCCUACAAGCUUUUCUGUGGCACUUGUGAUCUGGUAGGAGGUGUCGCCAUAAGAGAAGGGUCAGAAAAAGAAACAGGUCAUCCCAGCUGAAAGACUAAAUUGAGGCAGGUCAAACCUGUGGUGAAAUCAUCCAGUGUACUUCUGGUUUCCUCCAUAGAAGAUAGGAAGCUGAGAAGAAGCCUUCUUGAAAAGGAUACACUGCAAUCAUUUUUGCUUUAUAAAUACUUUCUCAUGUUGUAAACUGUUUUGAAUAAAUCACUAUCACCCCAAAAUGCAAAGAGCUUUCAA